Molecule: unclassified non-coding RNA, 148 nt
Organism: Macaca fascicularis (crab-eating macaque)
Lineage: Eukaryota; Metazoa; Chordata; Mammalia; Primates; Cercopithecidae
Rfam family: Metazoan signal recognition particle RNA
About the family: The signal recognition particle (SRP) is a universally conserved ribonucleoprotein. It is involved in the co-translational targeting of proteins to membranes.
Source: Ensembl
GCUGGGCAUGGUGGCUCAUGCCUGUAAUCCCAGCUACUCUGGAGGCUGAGGCAGGAGAAUCGCUUGAACCAGGGAGUCAGAGGUUGCAGUGAGCCGAGAUUGUGCCACUGCACUCCAGCCUGGGUGACAGAGCGAGACUCUGUCUCAA